This 67-nucleotide transfer RNA is filed under the name Sambus kanssuensis. RNAcentral's name for it is "tRNA-Ser". Lineage: Eukaryota; Metazoa; Arthropoda; Insecta; Coleoptera; Buprestidae. The record is from RNAcentral.
GAAAUAGGUUAAUCAAGAAGAAGUUUCUAACUUUUAACUUUAGCAGUGAAAAUCUGUUACUAUUUCU